AUUGAACGCUGGCGGCAGGCCUAACACAUGCAAGUCGAGCGGCAGCGGGAAAGUAGCUUGCUACUUUUGCCGGCGAGCGGCGGACGGGUGAGUAAUGCCUGGGGAUCUGCCCAGUCGAGGGGGAUAACUACUGGAAACGGUAGCUAAUACCGCAUACGCCCUACGGGGAAAGCAGGGGACCUUCGGGCCUUGCGCGAUUGGCUGAACCCAGGUGGGAUUAGCUAGUUGGUGAGGUAAUGGCCCACCAAGGCGACGAUCCCUAGCUGGUCUGAGAGGAUGAUCAGCCACACUGGAACUGAGACACGGUCCAGACUCCUACGGGAGGCAGCAGUGGGGAAUAUUGCACAAUGGGGGAAACCCUGAUGCAGCCAUGCCGCGUGUGUGAAGAAGGCCUUCGGGUUGUAAAGCACUUUCAGCGAGGAAGAAAGGUCAGUAGCUAAUAUCUGCUGGCUGUGACGUUACUCGCAGAAGAAGCACCGGCUAACUCCGUGCCAGCCGCCGCCGUAA
RNAcentral lists this ribosomal RNA (507 nucleotides) under uncultured bacterium. Its description in RNAcentral is "partial 16S ribosomal RNA". It matches the Rfam family "Bacterial small subunit ribosomal RNA", at positions 30 to 523 of the family's 1533-position model. The record is from RNAcentral.